CACAGCUGGUCCUCUGCUGCCUCGUGUGGUCGCUUUGUGUCACUGACGUUAAUCUGAAGGAAGACUUUCAAACGCAGAAUUGACAAAAUAAGACAUGUGAACUCAGUGAUGGAGGCAGCAGUGGCUCAAAUUAAAAUUGUUGAUCUCAUUGUGAUUUCUGUGUAAGAUGAAUAUUACAUUACAUUACAUUACAUGUCAUUUAGCAGACGCUUUUAUCCAAAGCGACUUACAAAAGUGAAUAGAAAACAUAAAGUAUCCAUGUCAACUGUGCAAUGUCAUUUAAUCCAAACAACAGGUUGGAUUAACCAAUUUAAAACACGGGUUUUAAAUUAACUAAGGUGGGCGUGCGCAUUUCGACACUUUGGAGAAAAGAAACGGGGUUCCCUAACGGAAUUUUCAUGGGUUUCAUCUACUAUCCUGCGCGUGGUGGUCUCCACCCCCCGUGUUGGAUCUGGAACUUUCUCUGAUGGUGAGUAUUUCCUUAAAUACACUUUAAGUUACUCUGUAUUGCUGUUAAUGUAAAUAUAAUUUUGAAUGAAUUUAGAAUCGCACCAACCAACUUGUCCACUUUGUUGAAGACAAACGUAAAGUGAAAUGUUCAGUUAGCGUCUGUCAACGUUAACGUGACUGGCGAAGUGCGUGAGCUCAGUGCAGCGCAAGGCUGGGUUAGCAUCAGCCUCAUAGCCGGCGUGCGGACUUCGUUCAGCCGCUCACCGCAAAUAAAGCGUCGUAUGAUUAAUUAACCAUGAAGACCUAGCCGCGAUUUUACAUGCAGAUGGUCGGUGAUGUUUUUCUCUAUCGAUAGGUCGCGUUAAAUGUGAGCCAUACAACUGAAUGGACGCUAGCUAGUGAGCAAACUUAGUGUUGUUAGCGCGACGCACAGCUUUAAUCACCGCGACGUCGCGCUAACUAACAACAGUCGGACAACUCGCUGGUGGAGAUAUUAGUUAUUAACUUACUUAACUGUUUUAAUUGUCAUUAUUUAGCUGGAACAGUAACAUUGUGCACUGUGUCAAUGUAAACUCAAGCUGUCAAAUUAGCUUGAACAGGUGAAACAACUCUUCAAUCUAACGUCAGAUAUGUGCAGAGUUCCACCGUGUCACCACCAAGGAGCUAUUGGGGACUUUGAGAUCAGCCUCAGAUGAGUCCAGAAAUGGAAAAACUCCAUGACAAGCUUGAUCACCUACAAAUCAGACUGAUCGUUUGAGAUCAAUUUAAAUGUUUAUUGGAAUUUACAUAUCCGUGGUUCAGUCUGUGAUUAACGCCACUGAUGUAAAGAUACAGUGUUGAUACAGUGACAUUGGCGUGCACUGAAGGAACACAUCCCUGCAAGGUCUACCCCUGUUUCUUCGGGAGGAGUUUUUCAGGACAUGCUUGGAAACUGAUCCAGAUGACAGACAAGAGGACUCAAGAUUGGUAUCCUCACUGUCCUUGAGGAUGUUGGAAGAGGGCGUCGUCCUCACAGAUCUCCCAGACCUCCCCACUGUGUCGGCCUUGCUGCUCGAUGCCUUGAACAACAAUUUCCCUAAAGAAAACAGGUUUGAAGUGAUUGAGACCGUCUUUAUGAAACUGGAGCCUCAAGACCAAGCUUUUACUGUGAGUCGGCUAAAUGUGCCCCGCUAAUGAUACCGUGAGCGCUCGGUGACUCAUGUGUGUCGUAAGAAUGGAUACUUGUGACCGAGUGACUGAUACAUUUGUUUUAGUAUUUGUAAAAGUGUUUUGUAAAUUUGUUUAGUAAAAUGUUAAUUUGUUUAUACAUACUGGUUUGCACUUCAGGCCACCAUACCUUUUUAACUUUUUUGUUUUGUUAUUAUGGGGUGUUUUAUUCAGUUGCCCAUAUUACAGUGUUAAAUGUUAUGCCUUUUAACUGUUGUGUUGUGAACCGCACAGGUGCUUUUACAGGUUUUGCCUUAUUUGUAUUUGACACGGCCACUUUAGAUGUCAGCAGUCUUGCACAAUGACAUGUUUACAAAAUGGUAAAUAUGUUUUGAAUGUAUUUGACCAUAGGUCAGUAACACUUGAACUGUUACUUGUUACUUAUUACUGUUGCUAUUGUUAUGGAGCUACUGGAGCUACUACUGGUUACUUUCAAUAAAAUAUGAAGUAAACUUUAAA
Solea senegalensis (Senegalese sole) is the source of this 2115-nucleotide long non-coding RNA. RefSeq lists it as uncharacterized. The record is from RefSeq and is a predicted model, not a curated record. The transcript has 3 exons. Lineage: Eukaryota; Metazoa; Chordata; Actinopteri; Pleuronectiformes; Soleidae.